This 465-nucleotide long non-coding RNA is filed under the name Gallus gallus (chicken). Lineage: Eukaryota; Metazoa; Chordata; Aves; Galliformes; Phasianidae. The record is from RNAcentral.
CCAGAGACAUUAAAAGUGGUUAAAGAUAACAUAAUAAGUAAUGUAAUCAAGCAAUAGGAGUAAAUGAGGCUUCAAGAGUAGAAAAACGUUUGUAGAAAAGAUAGUAGAGUCUAAAAUGCGUUCAAUGCAGAAAAACUCUACAGCCAAUAACUUGUAAUUAUCUAAAUAUUAUUAAUAUUAUUAUUGAAUUAUUUAAAUAAUAAAGAGAAGUAGUAGCUUCUGUUAUAAAAGCAUGUUAUUCAAUUGACUCAUUCCAGCUGGAAAAAACUAUUUUUUUUUAAUUAAGUUUCAGGAAAUAUCUAGAACUUUAAAGAAAACUUCUCAAACUAUUUGAGGAGACAGGCACGUAAAGGGAAAACAAAACAUUAAUUUCCUGUCACUUGAGGCUUUAUAUGCAUCUUUUUUUAUCUCAAUCCAACGUCAUUAUAGGUUUUUUAAUAUUUAAUGUGAAGUAUUUGACCUAGG